This 329-nucleotide unclassified non-coding RNA is filed under the name Hevea brasiliensis (rubber tree). The record is from RNAcentral. Lineage: Eukaryota; Viridiplantae; Streptophyta; Magnoliopsida; Malpighiales; Euphorbiaceae.
AGACACGGUAAGGACGCGUCGAUGAGCCCCUUAUCUGCCAAUCCGUCUACCGACAUCAUCCUGACCGCAUCGCGUUCUUCAGAUUCGAUAGGUAUUGCUGCGAAAGCCUCAUGCUUUUGACCCACGAUCCUCGCGUAACCAAUCGAUUGUUCACCGAUGGCGGCGUUAAGACAUCGAAAGCGGCCACCGUUCAGCCUGGCAUUGGCCUCCAGCCGCGUUGCGUUUGCUGGAGCAGCCUCGAUCGCCAGCGCCGAUUGCUUGCCGAACGGCUCGCUGGUCGCGAGCACAGACCAGUAUCCGAAAUUCGCGCCGCAAUCGACUAGAGUGUA